UUGGAGUCUGCUUCCUUUGGAGUGUUUGGUGAGCUGUGAUCCUCAGAAGGGGCUUCUGACAACCCCCAGGAACAAAAUGAAUGCCUGCUUGCCAGCUGAAGGGCAAACAUCCAAAAAGGAAAAAAGUGCUCCUUUUCAGCUCCUACAAGGGUAUUGCAAACAACAGAGGAAAUGUAAUCCCAUUGCUUGUUACAGCUUUCUGGAGGAAGCAAGAGCUGUGGAGGCUGUGGAAAUCUGAAUGGUUUUCCAUAACAUGUGCUUUGCAAGGAGAAAUGGGAGAGAUUUGGACACUAAGACUUCUGGUUUCUCAUCUAUCUAAAGCAUUUUCUACUGCAGAUUCUAAUGGGAACUAGACACAUGGCUCUACCCUAACAACCAGCCUGCUCUCUGUAGGAGUGGGAGAUCAGGUGAGAUCUCACCUGUGGCCAUUACCAAUUGCUUCAAGGAGAAUUCCAAUGUUAUAAAGCAAUGACUGCAGCCAAGAUGAUGAGGCUGUUGAUGUCAGCUGAGAAAACAAGGUCGGGGUAAUUGAAACAGGAAUGGUUCUGGGUUGUCCUGUGUGAGACUCCACAGAAAACAGCCUGUGGGGAAGAAGGGAGAGAAAAGGAGCUGCAGUGUGUACAGAAUCCUGUGGUUGGGGAUAUUUUCUAGCUCACAGAAAAGGGAACAAAGUAUUGCUGGGCUCAAAUGAUUCAAUCACUGGGACAAAGUCCCCUUUGUUUUCCUCUUCUUUAUCUUUGAGCCUCUCUGGAUGAAGGAUCCCCAUCACAGCAUGGGCUGUGUUGCUGUAUGAAAGUGGGAUGGGGAUCAUCCAGCACCAUGUGCUCCUGGUGACAGCUGGAUGGGGAAAGAAGAGGGUUGGGAAGCCAAGCAGCAGGGCUCUGGUGCCCUGGGUACUGCUUUGGCCAUUGCAAUGUCAGUUACCAGCCCCUGGGAUUUCCAAUUUUGCAGCUUUAGUCUUUUAUAGAGCAGCAUUUUGUUAGCAGCAGCAAUGCAGACAAUAAUCAUUCUGCAGCUGCUUCCAUCUUAUGUGAAGCUACAAUAGCUCUGACCUAAACUUAAAAGAAAUGUCACACUCCUCAGGACAGUGUGGGAAAAUUGAUCCUUGUGAUGACAACUGAACAAUCAUGGAGAUGCACUUUUGCUGGUUGGAAAUGUCAUUCUCUCUCUAUUUCAUGUACUCUUAGGGCAGUCCUGAACGUGCAGGCUGUUUCUUCCUUUUGCAGUGACCUCCCCAAAACCUCUUCCACCUCAUUGCUUUGCCUUAUUAAGAACUACAGAGCCCUUUGCUGCCCCAGGAUUGUCUUCUCACCUCCAGCUGUGCAAUGCCUCCAAUACCUCUCAGCUGUGUUAGGUGUUAAGCCUCCGGGCUCCCAUCUGCUCUUUGCUAAGCAGCCACCCUGCAACAUUGCAAAGGAUUGUGAUGCUCUUCAUUAUCUGUAUCAUCCCUGGUUUUGUCUUCCCACGGCUGUGCUUUCAGUCAUCCCACUGCCAAGAUGCAGCAGAGCUGCCAGCGCAGGAAUGCCAGGAGAGAAAACUUUGCUUUGCCUCUAAUCCAAGCAGAGGUGUGUGUCCCAGGGAGAGGAUGCUGAUACACACUACAAUGCCCUGCAGAGCAGCCCCAUUCACACUUUAGCAGAGAAGCAUUUUAAUUAAUUGUCAACAGUUUUUUAAUAUAUAGAUUUAGCAGCUCUGCCUGAGUAAAUGCUGUUUGAGAGAUUAAAUUCUGUUUGGAUUAAUGGCCUCUGACAGCUUUUCCUCCUUUGCAAACAAAGUGGGUUUGAAGUGUAAUAAAACAGAGCGUGGGAUGCAUUGAGCAUGGAGAGCUGUUCAAGCUGGCAGCCAAGUGAAACACCACCAGGCUCCAUCCAGAGAAGUCCACAGACAAACACACCUUCCAGGCACAAAGGCUUUUAUCUGAUGUGGCUUCAGGCUCUCCAAUUCCCUCAGCCUCCCAUACAGUUGCUUAUGGCAACAUACAUCAAUUGUGCUUAUGGAGUUUUUGAAAGGAGGGCUCUGCAGACUGUGGGGCUGACAUCUGCAGCAUCUGCACGAAGCUCAUACUGAACAGUAUUGUUUGUUCUCUAUAUGUCAUGGUCAAGGGGAGACUAAUCCACAGCAUGGUCACAUCAGCAAGGUGAGAUCUACUUCCCAUAAGUCAAAGAAGUGAUGCUGACUCCAGGAUAUAAAGCACUCCGGGCAGUAUGUGUUUGGAUCUUGUGCUUAUA
Long non-coding RNA from Numida meleagris (helmeted guineafowl), 2228 nucleotides. RefSeq lists it as uncharacterized. Lineage: Eukaryota; Metazoa; Chordata; Aves; Galliformes; Numididae. The record is from RefSeq and is a predicted model, not a curated record. The transcript has 2 exons.